RNAcentral lists this ribosomal RNA (440 nucleotides) under uncultured bacterium. RNAcentral's name for it is "partial 16S ribosomal RNA". It matches the Rfam family "Bacterial small subunit ribosomal RNA", at positions 338 to 795 of the family's 1533-position model. The record is from RNAcentral.
CCUACGGGCGGCAGCAGUGGGGAAUAUUGCACAAUGGGCGAAACCCUGAUGCAGCGACGCCGCGUGAGUGAAGCAGUCUUUCGGUUUUUAAAACUUUUUCAGCAGGGAAAAAAAUGACGGUACCUGAGUAAGAAGCCCCGGCUAAAUACGUGCCAGCAGCCGCGGUAAUACGGAGGGGGCAAGCGUUAUCCGGAUUUACUGGGUGUAAAGGGAGCGUAGACGGCAGUGUAAGUCUGGAGUGAAAGGCGGAGGCUCAACCCCCGGACUGAUAUUGAAACUGUGCGGCUGGAGUGCAGGAGAGGUAAGUGGAAUUCCUGGUGUAGCGGUGAAAUGCGUAGAUAUUAGGAGGAACACCGGUGGCGAAGGCGGCUUACUGGACUGUAACUGACGUUGAGGCUCGAAAGCGUGGGUAGCAAACAGGAUUAGAUACCCUUGUAGUC